ACUCAAAGGAAUUGACGGGGGCCCGCACAAGCGGUGGAGCAUGUGGAUUAAUACGUCACUAACCGUAGAACCUUACCCAGGCUUGACAUCUGGCGAACUUUCCUGAAAGGGAAGGGUGCCUCGCAAGAGGAGCGCCAAGACAGGUGUUGCAUGGCUGUCGUCAGCUCGUGUCGUGAGAUGUUGGGUUAAGUCCCGCAACGAGCGCAACCCUCAUCGCAUGUUGCCAGCGUCAAGUCGGGCACUCUUGCGAAACUGCCCGGGUAACCGGGAGGAAGGUGAGGACGACGUCAAGUCAGCAUGGCCCUUACGCCUGGGGCUUCACACAUGCUACAAUGGCCGGUACAAAGGGCUCCGAUACCGCGAGGUGGAGGCAAUCCCAAAAAGCCGGUCUCAGUUCGGAUCGCAGGCUGCAACUCGCCUGCGUGAAGUCGGAAUCGCUAGUAACCGCCGGUCAGCUAAACGGCGGUGAAUACGUUCCCGGGCCUUGUACACACCGCCCGU
Molecule: ribosomal RNA, 501 nt
Filed under: uncultured bacterium
Lineage: Bacteria
Description: partial 16S ribosomal RNA
Rfam family: Bacterial small subunit ribosomal RNA
Source: RNAcentral